AUCGACACAGGUGUCCUCCCCAAGGGGAGGCUGAAAAAGGAAGCGGGUGAGAAUCCCGCGCGGAGCCGCCGCUGUAUUUGGGGAGCGGAAGCCACGAUGUCACUGGUGAAAACCGGGAAGACGGCCGACGCGAUGAUCCAUGAGCCAGAAGACUUGCCUGAGUUUCUG
RNAcentral lists this non-coding RNA (168 nucleotides) under bovine gut metagenome. The record is from RNAcentral.